RNAcentral lists this ribosomal RNA (374 nucleotides) under uncultured organism. Its description in RNAcentral is "partial 16S ribosomal RNA". It matches the Rfam family "Bacterial small subunit ribosomal RNA", at positions 525 to 896 of the family's 1533-position model. The record is from RNAcentral.
AGGGGGGGAGCGAGCGUUGUUCGGAAUCACUGGGCGUAAAGGGCGCGUAGGCGGCCGGAUAAGUCGUGUGUGAAAGACCGGGGCUCAACUCCGUGUAUUGCAUGCGAUACUGCCCGGCUAGAGUAAGGUAGAGGCGAGUGGAAUUCCCGGUGUAGCGGUGGAAUGCGUAGAUAUCGGGAAGAACACCUGUGGCGAAGGCGGCUCGCUGGGCCUUUUCUGACGCUGAAGCGCGAAAGCGUGGGGAGCAAACAGGAUUAGAUACCCUGGUAGUCCACGCCGUAAACGAUGGGCACUAGGCGUUGGGAGGAUUGACCCUCUCAGUGCCGUAGCUAACGCGUUAAGUGCCCCCGCCUGGGGAUACGGCCGCAAGGCUG